GUAACGGCGAGUGAAGCGGCAACAGCUCAAAUUUGAAAUCUGGCCCCGUCCGCGGGGUCCGAGUUGUAAUUUGCAGAGGAUGCUUUCGGCGAGGCGCCUUCCGAGUGCCCUGGAACGGGCCGCCGCAGAGGGUGAGAGCCCCGUACGGUCGGACGCCGAGCCGGUGUAAAGCUCCCUCGACGAGUCGAGUAGUUUGGGAAUGCUGCUCUAAACGGGAGGUAAACCCCUUCUAAAGCUAAAUACCGGCCAGAGACCGAUAGCGCACAAGUAGAGUGAUCGAAAGAUGAAAAGCACUUUGAAAAGAGAGUCAAACAGCACGUGAAAUUGUUGAAAGGGAAGCGCUUGUGGCCAGACUUGCGCCCCGGCGGCUCAGCCGUCCCUCGUGGGCGGUGCACUCCGCCGGGCGCAGGCCAGCAUCAGCUCGUGGCGGGGGAGAAAGGCGGCGGGAACGUGGCUCUUCGGAGUGUUAUAGCCCGCCGCUACGCCCCACCGCGGGCUGAGGUACGCGCUCCGCAAGGAUGCUGGCGUAAUGGCCAUCAGCGACCCGUCUUGAAACACGGACCAAGGAGUCGUCCUAGCAUGCGAGUGUUAGGGUGCAAAACCCCUACGCGAAAUGAAAGUGAACGGAGGUGAGAGCUUCGGCGCAUCAUCGACCGAUCCUGAUGUUCUCGGAUGGAUUUGAGUAGGAGCAUGCUGGGCCGGACCCGAAAGAAAGUGAACUAUGCUUGGAUAGGGCAAAGCCAGAGGAAACUCUGGUGGAGGCUCGCAGCGGUUCUGACGUGCAAAUCGAUCGUCAAAUCUGAGCAUGGGGGCGAAAGACUAAUCGAACUUUCUAGUAGCUGGUUUCCGCCGAAGUUUCCCUCAGGAUAGCAGUGUUGAGCUUCAGUUUUAUGAGGUAAAGCGAAUGAUUAGGGACCCGGGGGCGCUCAUUAGCCUUCAUCCAUUCUCAAACUUUAAAUAUGUAAGAAGCCCUCGUUGCUUCGGUG
RNAcentral lists this ribosomal RNA (986 nucleotides) under Corollospora cinnamomea. RNAcentral's name for it is "partial large subunit ribosomal RNA". It matches the Rfam family "Eukaryotic large subunit ribosomal RNA", at positions 83 to 1097 of the family's 3401-position model. Lineage: Eukaryota; Fungi; Ascomycota; Sordariomycetes; Microascales; Halosphaeriaceae. The record is from RNAcentral.